Molecule: ribosomal RNA, 485 nt
Filed under: Syllides sp. 4 MTA-2011
Lineage: Eukaryota; Metazoa; Annelida; Polychaeta; Phyllodocida; Syllidae
Description: partial 16S ribosomal RNA
Rfam family: Bacterial large subunit ribosomal RNA
Source: RNAcentral
CGCCUGUUCUCAAAAACAUAGCCUAUUGAAUCUUUAUAUUAGGUAAAGCCUGCCCAGUGUAAUUAAACGGCCGCGGUAUCCUGACCGUGCAAAGGUAGCAUAAUAAUUUGUCUUAUAAUUUAAGACUAGAAUGAAUGGCUAAAUGAGAAAUAACCUGUCUCUUUUUUUGACUAAAAAUAUAACUUUAAGUGAAAAUGCUUAAAUUCUCUAAAAAGACAAGAAGACCCUAUAGAGCUUUAUCUAUCUUUCAUAAAAAGUUUUUGCUGGGGCGGCAAGAAAAUAUAAAAAACUUUUCUUCUCAUUUGAUUUUUAAUCUUAAGAUCCCUUUUAGGAAAAAAUAAAAAAGUUACCUUAGGGAUAACAGACUAAUUUUAUUAUAGAGUUCUAAUCKAAAAUAAAGUUUGGCACCUCGAUGUUGGCUUAGGGUCUCUUUUUAUUCCAGAAGAUAAAUAAGAUGGUUUGUUCAACCAUAAAAUCCCUACAUG